CGCCCGCCCGUGGCGGGCAGCGCGGUUGUCUGCCCGGAGCGGCGGCUGAAGGGAAAGGGGAGCAGGCUGACGCAGUGGAGGAACAGGCGGGGUGGAAAAAUGAGAUAAUUUGAAAAACUACCGUGAUUCCGGGAAAAGCUUGAAGGAAUUUGGGGUUCCCGAAUCCAGGGGAAGGGGAUAGGACAGGACCAGGCGGAGACUGAGGCAGCCAGGGGUCCCGCGCACUGGCACUGGGGAAGCCCGAGGUGAUCAGAAGUUUCUGGCCUGUCUUGGUGGUGGGAAACAGCUCAGGUUUCUCAGUCGUCGCCUUAUGUUUGGCCUGAAAGGCUGGAGAAAUGGCAGAUCUGAGGAAUCGAUUUAAGUCACACAAGUGUACAUCAUGUUACCGCUUAACUGAUGCGCAUGAGAGAAGUAGAGGAGAGAAGAAUCAAAUAAAUUCAUUUUUACCUCGAAAUAAGCCUUGUCCUCAGCAGACACAUCAGAUUGGGAAGGUUGUUCUCUCCUCUCGGAGCCAAAAAGUAGAAGCCUCAAUGUUCUUCAGGUUUAGUAGGAAAUUCUGCUUUCAAACAUGUACAGUUCUGCAAAUCUAAUUUAACCCCUGUCAGCCAUCAUCAAACCCAAAACCUUCUAUCUGUUUUGAAAUGAAUUGGCAUGAGUGGGACGAUACGGAGAUGUGGGUAGAUCUAUCUGUGGACAAUUACAUUUGCAUUUUUAGACUGUACUGGCAUCAACAUAGCUGUGAUCAAUGAAAGAAGUUUACACUUACAUCUCACCUUGACUGAGAAGUAAUUGGCACAUAUCUUUACCCACAACGUGUACAAAAUUCCAGAAAGAAAUUUUGAAGCUGAAUUUAGAAACCAUGUACUGAAGUUUUACUGCUUUACCCCUGCUGUUGAAUGUAAAGGCUGAUUAUGAAGCGUUCAAAUGGCUUAUGCAAACUACAAAGAGAUCUUGCUUCUCCACAUUACACAGGAAGCCAAAAAAGGAAAAAAAAAAAAGGAAAGAAAGAAAAAAAGAAAAAAAAUUGCAUGGUGAGAGGAUGAAAAUAGUCAGGAAAUUGCAGACAAAACCAAACAAACAGAAAUAGAGACCUUAAAAAGCUGAAGAGGUUUCAGAGAGCUUUCUAUCUCGCAUGGGAUAAAGAGCAAAAAAAGAGUUGGCAUAGCCUGCCAACUACCUGCUACCUGAAGAUCAUGUUCCAGAGACCCUGCAGGUGACAAGUGACUGCAGCACAAAGCCAGUGUCACAGUACUGGCACUACAGGGCAUCUGUACAUUGCAGUCCUUAUCUGCAGCUUUCACAUCAAGUCCUUUCAGCUGGAGGAAGAUACGACAUUCGACCUUGGCAAACUCUGAGGAGAUCUGGUCACCAGGGAAGGACCCAUUUGGAGCUUUGGAUUGCUGCAAUUAAGAAUACUUCUUGAAGUUCAGAAUUGAGAUUUUCAGAUACAAAGGCUAUUUUUGGGGUGGAGGUGAAGCACACAUUAAUUUCUCUGCAUAUCCCCCACAAUCAGACUGUCAAAAAUUACUUGCCAAAUACCUGGCUGUGUUGAAGAAUGAAAUGAGACUGCAGAGAGCAUGACCUCGAAUGUCUAUCACAUCUCAGAAGAGGGGAGAGAGAGAAAAAACAAGAGCGAGCUCUGAAAAAGUGGUCUGUCCCCUUACCAUUUUGUAGGUGUGGCAAAAUGCUUGAUUAUACAGUCCAAAGUACAAAAAGGGGAAAUGCCCCAGCUGUCAGGCAGUGUUUCUUCAUAAGCAGAACUAACAACUAGCAUAACUGUCAUAAUAAAAUACCUAGGGAAAUCCCUAAAAAUGGAGGUAGAUAUCUGUAUAGAUCCAUACACACAUUCUAUUUACAUUUUUUUCAGUGCAUGCCAUAUGGACGUUUCAGUGCUUCCUACUAAUGGUAUAUAUGGGCUGUCUGUGAUCAUUACCCUGGAACAGGAAAAUUGGAACUUAGAAAGGAUUUUGUUAAUAAGCCUUUUCUAAAUGACACUUUUACAGUCCACCUCUCAAAGGAGUACAGUGCCAACUUUGUUGUGAGGCAGAUGGUAGUGAAAAAGGUGGAUGUGACUCUGAUCAUUUAGCAAGGAAAUUAAUUUAUGUGAUACUAACCAGCCUCCAAAUUGGGUUUAUUGGCUCAUUACAGUUUCUCCAAAAUGCCAAAGCUUUAUAUUUUAAAGAAGCUGAAGGUUAUUUUCAGGAUAUUUUAAAAAGAGAGCAAGAGAGAGAGGGGAGAAAAUUGAAUGAAUGACUGAGGAUCUGUAUUGAAGGUAAGAUGAUAACUUUUAUGCAACUUUGGAUGAAGGACUUUGCAGCUCCACCAAGGAAUGCUGAGGAAAUUCUGCAGUCAUGAUAAAAUGUGUCUUUAUCCACCCUUGCCUCAUCGAAUAUAAAAGAUCUUAGCUUAUUAGUAUGAUGGCUUUGAAGAGAAUACAUCUUUAAUUGAUCAAAAUAAAAAUUAAAUAGAUUAUGGCCUAGUGUAAUAGCAUAUAGAUAUUUCACAAUUUAUUUUUAAACAAACAAACAUUGAACUCCUUAUAGAGAAAUAGCUCUGAGUCUAUUUAGUUUACUAAAGACAGGAAAUUCAGGAUGAAAGUUGGACAGAAAAGCUGAAAAUCAGUGUUUGUAUUUCAGUGUUUUAUGUCACAUGAUGAUCCCUAUAUGCAGCUUAAAAUAUUAAUUCUUGACUGUGGAGAACAUACUGAUUGAAACAAGGAAGCCAACUAAUGGACAUUUUUAGCUUUAAUUUUGUUAAUUCCUGUUUGUGAGUAAUACAUCAAUGUCUAUCAUCAUUUCAUCAUAUUUCUCCUUCCAUACUGGUCUGUUCUUUAAUUGUGUUUUUUCCAAGUACUACAUUCUACAGUGUAGUAUAAUGAUAGCUCAUCAACACAAAGCUGCAUGGUUUGUUACUUCUUGUUGUAGUCUAUGGUAUAUUGUUGUCCUAAUCCUAAUCCUAAUGGAUAGUGGUGCCUCUAGAACUACCCUGCCAGAGGAAAUACCUAGUAGUAUUCCUUGAUCUGAUGCUUUAAGUGUCUGUAAGUGUGUUCAUAAGCUGAAGCAAUUUUUUUUUAAUGUAUUACAACAUGUAAU
Molecule: long non-coding RNA, 3092 nt
Organism: Rhea pennata
Lineage: Eukaryota; Metazoa; Chordata; Aves; Rheiformes; Rheidae
Exons: 6
Source: RefSeq, a predicted model, not a curated record